GAGUUGGUGAACACCCAUGAUCUGUAGAUGUCGCAGUUGGAAGGGUCCAGGAAGAUUUAUGCACAGGGAGAUGAUUAUCACGAGUACUUCAAGCGCUCAUUUGAGGAAGACAUCGCUGCGCAAGUGCCUCAAGGAGUGGAAUGGGGUUACAACUAUUGAUUGGGGGAAAUCAGGCAGAGGAGGGCAUGUUGACGGACCAAGUGGCGAGGCAAAAUUUUCUAAUGAUUUUGAAGUUCAUUAUAUUGGCAGUAGCUGAUGAUCCCUUCUGUGAUGGACCGAGUAAACCAAGCAAUUCGGGAUAUUCAACUCCACUUUGAUGACUGUGUGUACCAGCAUGAGAUGUUGAUUACAAUUCACGACAUAUUUAUUGUUGUUUAUUUUUUAUUUUUCAUAUUAUAGUGAUGUUUGUUGUUCCGUAUC
Long non-coding RNA from Zea mays, 420 nucleotides. RefSeq lists it as uncharacterized. Lineage: Eukaryota; Viridiplantae; Streptophyta; Magnoliopsida; Poales; Poaceae. The record is from RefSeq and is a predicted model, not a curated record. The transcript has 3 exons.